Lagopus muta (rock ptarmigan) is the source of this 2956-nucleotide RNA transcript. It is a transcript of the gene named NF2, moesin-ezrin-radixin like (MERLIN) tumor suppressor, with no coding region annotated. The transcript has 17 exons. The record is from RefSeq and is a predicted model, not a curated record. NCBI's taxonomy places the organism in Eukaryota, Metazoa, Chordata, Aves, Galliformes, Phasianidae.
CCGGAGCCGCCGCCGCUGCCGCCGCCGCCAUGGCGCUGCCCCCGCGGCGCGGCCCUCGGCGCUGAGCUCCUCGCGCACCAUGGCCGGGGCCAUCGCGUCCCGCAUGAGCUUCAGCUCGCUCAAACGGAAGCAGCCCAAGACCUUCACGGUGCGCAUCGUCACCAUGGACGCCGAGAUGGAGUUCAGCUGCGAGGUGAAGUGGAAAGGCAAGGACUUGUUUGACCUGGUAUGCAGAACACUGGGACUCCGAGAAACAUGGUUCUUUGGCCUGCAGUACACUAUCAAGGACACGGUGGCUUGGCUUAAAAUGGACAAGAAGGUUCUGGAUCAUGAUGUGCCAACAGAGGAACCUGUCACCUUUCACUUCCUAGCCAAAUUUUAUCCUGAGAAUGCAGAGGAGGAGCUGGUCCAGGAGAUCACACAGCACUUGUUCUUCCUGCAGGUGAAGAAGCAGAUUUUGGAUGAGAAGAUCUACUGUCCUCCUGAAGCUUCUGUCCUGCUGGCCUCUUAUGCAGUCCAAGCCAAGUAUGGUGAUUAUGAUCCCAACGUCCACAAGCGAGGCUUUCUGGCACAGGAGGAGUUGCUUCCAAAGCGGGUAAUAAACCUGUACCAGAUGACUCCAGAGAUGUGGGAGGAGAGGAUUACAGCCUGGUAUGCAGAGCAUCGAGGCAGAGCAAGAGAUGAAGCAGAAAUGGAGUAUUUGAAGAUAGCUCAGGACUUGGAGAUGUAUGGAGUGAACUAUUUUGCAAUUAGGAAUAAGAAGGGUACUGAACUGCUCCUUGGAGUCGAUGCUUUGGGUCUUCACAUUUAUGACCCAGACAACAGAUUGACCCCUAAAAUCUCCUUCCCGUGGAAUGAGAUCCGGAAUAUCUCCUACAGUGAUAAAGAGUUUACAAUUAAGCCAUUGGACAAAAAGAUCGAUGUGUUCAAAUUCAAUUCAUCAAAGCUGCGUGUGAACAAGCUGAUUCUUCAGCUGUGCAUUGGAAACCACGAUCUUUUCAUGAGGAGGAGAAAGGCCGACUCAUUGGAGGUGCAGCAGAUGAAAGCACAGGCCAGGGAGGAGAAAGCCAGGAAGCAGAUGGAACGACAGCGCCUGGCCCGAGAGAAGCAAAUGAGAGAAGAGGCCGAAAGGACAAGGGAUGAGCUGGAGAGAAGGCUGAUGCAAUUAAAAGAAGAAGCAACGAUGGCCAACGAGGCCCUGAUGAGAUCUGAAGAGACAGCUGAUCUGCUGGCCGAGAAGGCUCAGAUCACGGAGGAGGAGGCCAAGCUCCUGGCUCAGAAAGCAGCAGAGGCUGAGCAAGAGAUGCAGCGAAUCAAAGCCACGGCCAUCCGGACGGAGGAGGAGAAGCGACUGAUGGAACAGAAGGUGCUAGAAGCAGAGAUGUUGGCACUGAAAAUGGCGGAGGAGUCAGAGAGGAGGGCAAAGGAGGCUGAUCAGCUAAAGCAAGACCUUCAGGAGGCUCGAGAGUCUGAGCGGAGAGCAAAGCAGAAGCUUUUGGAAAUCACUAGCAAGUCAUCCUACACGCAGUCCAUGAACUCCAGCACGACAGCACUGCCAACCGACCUGCCGAGCUUCAACCUCAUCAGUGAGAGCCUGUCCUUUGACUUCAAGGAUACAGACAUGAAGAGGCUGUCCAUGGAGAUCGAGAAAGAGAAGGUGGAGUACAUGGAGAAAAGCAAGCACCUGCAGGAGCAGCUGAAUGAGCUGAAGACUGAAAUCGAGGCGCUGAAGCUGAAGGAGAGAGAGACAGCUCUGGAUAUAUUGCACAACGAGAAUGCCAGCCGAGGCAACAGCAAGCACAACACUAUUAAAAAGAGCUGGCAGUGCCUUGGGCAGCAGGCUGAGCCAGGAGCUCGUGUGCCCGGAGGGAAGAUGUGUCUGGGGAAGCUGCUCUGCUCUUUCCAUGACUGAUCUUGCGUGCACCCACAGCAAGUUUUGAGUUGUAGCACUAAAGGAAGAAGCAAUGCAGCUCACCCUACAGAGCACCAAGUCCCGCGUGGCCUUCUUCGAGGAGCUCUAGGAGGUGACCGGCCCUGAGGAGUGGGGUUCCCAUCCCACGGCCCCACGCCGCCCCGAUGCCUGCUGCUCCCACCUGGGCUAUGGACUGGGAUCUUCUCCUCUUAGCAUCCCCCAGUUUGAGUUUUCCCCAUGUUCUCCUGUCCUUUUUUUUUUCCCCCCCCCCCUUAUUUUUCUACCUGCUCUGCUCUGUCUCGGCCCCCCAGGCUUUGUCCUCCAGGAGGAGGAUGGGGUUUGGAUCACAGCGCACCGAGGAGCGGAUGGGGCACUGCUGGCACCUGGAGCACGUGCAGGGAGAGGAGGAGAGCACGAAGGCUGAGGCUGCUGCUGUGCUGGGGAGAGGAGGAAGGGGCAGGAAGACCUCCUCCUCUUCCUCUGCAAGCAGGAAGGAGAACAACCCAUGCCAACCAGCUGUAGCCUUUUUUUCCCCGCAGACUGUGCCAGACACGGGCAGUGUGAGGCUGUGGGUCUGCCCAACCUCUACCCGCUCUGUGCCUUUCCAGGAGCUGCAGCAGCUCCCUUACCAGCUCCAGCUCACCACUGCCCUGUUUCACUUCCCUAUUUAGGCUGAGCAGGCCGAGGUGCUGACGGCACCCAAACCCCCCCGGGGACCCCCGUUGUCUCCCCCACAGGCCCCUGCCCACUGCUGGGCUCUGGGGCUGCCUCCAUCCCUGUGUCCCAUGCAAAGCAUCUCCCUGCAGGGGCCCGGGGCGCCCAGUGCCUGGCAGUGGGGCCCGGCCACACGCUGCCUCCACCCCACGGCGCCCCGACCCCUUUUAUUUAAGCACGCUGUCUGUAUCAGCUCCCUGCCCCAUGCGUGCCUGCCAUUUGGAUGGGUUCUCCCCUGACCCUGGUACAGCCUUUUUCUAUUCCCACGGAUUGUUGUAUCCUAAGAAAUGAUGGGUUCCUCGUUUGUUUUAAUAAAAACUCAAAGCAGGA